Molecule: ribosomal RNA, 253 nt
Filed under: uncultured bacterium
Lineage: Bacteria
Description: partial 16S ribosomal RNA
Rfam family: Bacterial small subunit ribosomal RNA
Source: RNAcentral
UACGGAGGGGACUAGCGUUGUUCGGAAUUACUGGGCGUAAAGCGCACGUAGGCGGAUUUGUAAGUCAGGGGUGAAAUCCCGGGGCUCAACCUCGGAACUGCCUUUGAUACUGCAAAUCUCGAGUCCGGAAGAGGUGAGUGGAAUUCCUGGUGUAGCGGUGAAAUGCGUAGAGAUCAGGAGGAACACCCGUGGCGAAGGCGGCCCCCUGGGUCGGCCCUGACGCUGAGGCGCGAAAGCGUGGGGAGCGAGCGGG